Molecule: ribosomal RNA, 429 nt
Filed under: Actinomycetes bacterium
Lineage: Bacteria; Bacillati; Actinomycetota; Actinomycetes
Description: Actinobacteria bacterium partial 16S ribosomal RNA
Rfam family: Bacterial small subunit ribosomal RNA
Source: RNAcentral
UAGGGAAUCUUCCGCAAUGGGCGAAAGCCUGACGGAGCAACGCCGCGGGAGUGAAGAAGGUCUUCGGAUCGUAAAACUCUGUUAUUAGGGAAGAACAAAUGUGUAAGUAACUAUGCACGUCUUGACGGUACCUAAUCAGAAAGCCACGGCUAACUACGUGCCAGCAGCCGCGGUAAUACGCAGGUGGCAAGCGUUAUCCGGAAUUAUUGGGCGUAAAGCGCGCGUAGGCGGUUUUUUAAGUCUGAUGUGAAAGCCCACGGCUCAACCGUGGAGGGUCAUUGGAAACUGGAAAACUUGAGUGCAGGAGAGGAAAGUGGAAUUCCAUGUGUAGCGGUGAAAUGCGCAGAGAUAUGGAGGAACACCAGUGGCGAAGGCGACUUUCUGGUCUGUAACUGACGCUGAUGUGCGAAAGCGUGGGGAUCAAACAGG